UCCCAGCAAAACAACACUCCAGCCUUCAUUCAGACCCAAAACAGAACAAGGAACAGAGCCGCAGAUCUUCUUCUUCCAACCUCCUUCCGGAUUUCCCCAGCUGCCCAACAUCCCAGCGAUCUUCUGUGAUCCAUCCAUAUCCUGCGCCCGAGUUGAAGCUCCCCUGCUCUGCGUGUCCGGAUGAGAGCCAGCACAGAUCAUGCACUCAUCUUUUCUUCUCCCGGAUAUCUCCCAGCUUCUCCCGCGAUGCAUGCCAAGCAAACAAACUUUUAUCUUCAUCCACAUCCUCAACCGAAUCCAGACCCCAUCCGGAUUUGCUCCCAGCUCAUCUUUCCUUCUCCGAAUAUCCCAGCAUCAAAGGAUCAAGUCUUCUCAGCCAUGAGCUUCAUCCACAUCAUACCCUGCCUCAAAACGGAACUCCUCUUCCGGAUAAGCUCCAAUCUCAGCACUCGUGGAUAGCUUCCAAGGCCGGAUCCCAUGAUCCGUGAUGAUUCUUUCAGCAUUCCCAGCACGUUCCAGCUAGAUCCCCAAGCCUAAGCCUCUCAGCAUCUGGAUUAACAGCAGCAUCCCGAGCUGAUUGCGUCCCAAACAACUUCAUCCCGAACGCCACGGAAUUCUCAGCAUCACCAUGGAACACAUCGGUUCUUUCUCCCAGCGCGAACAACAGCAAAUUAAACUUUCAAACGGCAUCAUCACAACUGAUUAAACAUCUCAACCAGCAGUCUCUCGAGUUUCAUGGAUUACCAGCUUCGAACUUCAUCUCUUUCCCGAUGGAUUAUCACCUACUCCACGCCAGCUGCAUUCUUCUCGAUGGAUAAGCUCCCAGCCAUCAGAUCUUCGCCGGAUCCCCUGUUACAGCAAAACAGAACCUGAGCUUAUCCUCACGGGUUGUUCAAGCCAUCGGGACCAGAGCCAGCAUCUAUAACACGUCCGAAGAUCAAGCAAGAAAUCCUCAACUCCAUCCAGCUUCGAUCCAUCCUUAUCUCCAUGGGAAAUAGGGAAGAGGAGAGAUGAAGGUUGGAGCUUAUAAAAGGCCCAGGCAUGAACAGAGGAGGCAUUCCUUUCUCGCCCAAAAAUUUUAUGCUUCGGCUUGUUUCGGGAGUCCCCAUUCAGUGAAUCCCAGAAAAGUCCGAGAAGGUAGAAGAAGAAGAAGAAGAAGAAGAAGAAGGAAGGAGUCCACCAUUGCAAUGAAAGUCUUUGGCGUUGAAAGUCUUUGGCGUUCCGACCACUGUCUGCAUGGAAGCUUAAAUUCUUCACUAGGGCUCGAUGUAGCCCUAACAAAGGAACACGGGUUUUAUAUCUUUAAUUUCAUGUUCUCGAAAUUGUAUAGACAUUCUUGCUUUUAAUAAAUAUCAUUUUAUCUUAUGCUUA
Non-coding RNA from Phoenix dactylifera (date palm), 1371 nucleotides. The record is from RefSeq and is a predicted model, not a curated record. NCBI's taxonomy places the organism in Eukaryota, Viridiplantae, Streptophyta, Magnoliopsida, Arecales, Arecaceae.